CUUUAUUUACCAGGUCCUUCCAGUGUUCAGGCAUAAACUCAGACUACAAAGUUUGUUGUUUGAGUCUUGGAGUGGAACUAACUACUGUGGGGACAUUUCCACCAAAACACUGAUAAAUAUCCUGAAUGGCAUUGUGGAACAUAAACACAAUAGUAGUAUGGCUGCACAAAAACAGGAAGCAUCGGAUCCCCAUACUUUAAUCCACUCACAGGCGUCGGAAGACAUUGGUUAAAAAAGCAGCAUUGUUUGGGUACCAAAUGAGGUCUUGGCCCCUGCGAUCAUAAAGAAGGUAUACUUCUGAUUAAAUGUGUUCUCAGAAAUGUGUUUCCAGGAACAAUCGUAAGAAGUUAAUCGACGAGGAGUUUAACAAUGUUUCCCAAGGGAGUAUACUUGGACCGGUUAGUCAGCUCUGGAGCCAAAGUAUAGAAAGACCAUCGCUACAGAGUCGUUCAGCAUUUGGCUCGUAUCCACUGGGCUGAAGUGUUCAUGUGCGAUCAUUGACCUGCUGGUGAGAACUGCUUCCUCAACAUACGAAAGAGAAACCCAACCUCUGUUAGGACAAGGUGAAAAUGAGACAAAAGACCAACGACAUCUGUUGCAGGAAAACCAGUUGUUCCUAAAGCGUUUUUGUGUGUGAGCUACCCAUGAAGAAAUGUCGUUACUAUGGGGUGGGGGUACCUCGUCUGGUCUAGGUAGGUGCUACAUGUCUAAGUAACACCCACAUGAAUGAAUGCCAAGUAGAAAAAGUUUCCCAGCAGAACACUGAAUUGUCACAAGAUGGUCAUUGUUAUUUCAUUCUCCUGUCAGUGGUCAUAAUGUUAUGGACCAUCAUGUGUAUUUACAUGAGUUUCCCAGCAGCAUUGGUAACAGUAGUAGUAUUUUGUCCAAUUUGUAUACCAGUUGAUUAGGUUAGUGAGCUAGUCAUGAGCUAAUCGUAUUAUUUUUGUUGUUUAUAUUUUUAUUGCAAAGACCUCAAUUCAAGUCACGUGUUAUUAAUUCACUAAAUAUCCAAAGAGAUUUAAGAUGGAAAUGAAAUCCUGUUUUUUUCUCCAACAAAUAUCUACAUGUACAAAUGUACCCGAUUUGUAUUAUGAAACUGAACUGGACCUCCACAUACUGCAGCAACAGGAAAAACAGGAAGCCUCGGAUUCCCAUAAGUUAACCCAUCAACAGUGUGUUUCAAGAGCAGCUGUGGACAUUGCAAAAUAACAAAAGCAUUGUUUGGGUGUGAAACUUCUGACCAGUGACCUACAACACAGUACAGACAGGUUCUUUCCAAAGCCUCUUCAGGGACAACUCCAGGAAUUCAGCUCGUUUCUGCUGUCAAGUUAACUCCUCAAAUUAAAUGGAACAUUGUUUAUGGAAGCCCGUUAGUCGGACACCUCAAAGACCACGUGUCGUUGUUUCUGAGUCCCCACCGGAUCUUAGAGCAAUCAACAUCGAGUCACGUUGAAGAACAGAGCAAAUCAAGUGGGAUUCCAGGUGUGGAACAAGCCGGUUUCUCAUAUCCUUGCUUUCUGUGUAGAAUUUAGACAAUUGUGAAAGUGAACUAAGCAGAUUAAUUUACUACACUCUUGAGGAUAAAAAUGUCCACUUUCAAAAAACUGCUAUAAAACCUGA
This is a long non-coding RNA of Mugil cephalus (flathead mullet), 1620 nucleotides long. RefSeq lists it as uncharacterized. The transcript has 3 exons. Lineage: Eukaryota; Metazoa; Chordata; Actinopteri; Mugiliformes; Mugilidae. The record is from RefSeq and is a predicted model, not a curated record.